Molecule: long non-coding RNA, 1623 nt
Filed under: Sorghum bicolor (sorghum)
Lineage: Eukaryota; Viridiplantae; Streptophyta; Magnoliopsida; Poales; Poaceae
Description: long non-coding RNA (SBIC_LNC012216)
Source: RNAcentral
CACACAUAUUCCUAGCACCACUCUCUUGAUCUCAUAAUCUUAACCAAUUGAGCUAAAAAUUUACAUUUUAUUUAUGGAAGAUGAUAGUCAUAAUCAUGAAAUCAUUGACAUAUUAUGCAUAGAUAGACAAUUCUUCCAUAUGUUAAGCAACUUAAUCAUUUCUACCAAAUAUUUUUAAUUGCUACAUUCAUGCUCAUCUUUUGAUCCUACCCCAUGUUAAGAUUGAGCAUAAACAUCAACUUUAUCUUGUUUAAUGUGCCCAAGGUUAGAGAAGAAUAAAGAUUUAGUUCUAUUGGUGUUUUCCAGCAAUAGAGCCUGCACUUGAUUUCUACCUUGUCUUUACAAGAAGGACACACUUCGAGCAAAAUGUAGAGCUUUGACAAUUCCCCAUAUUCUACAAGUGAACACUCUAGACCUACGAAUAUGCACACUGAGCAAGAUGCUCCCACCCUCCACUAUUAAUACUUCUCUUUAAACUACUAGACAAGCAAAGAACAUGGGUGACACCAUCCUCAGAAUCAUCAUCUUAAGAGGUGCAACCAUUUAGGUCUCCAUCUUCGAGACCAAUAGAUGCACCCAAAGAAUAAACAAGAUUAGAGAAAGAGUCCUAUCUUAUAACAAUCCAAAAUUUUUAAUUUUGGAUUGUUAUUAGAAAACACUAAAUUAAAUAAAGAUUUAAUUUUUUAUAAAAUAUUCCAAGAUUCAUUUAAUUAUUGAAUUCAAAAAGAGAUAAAAAUGUGGAAUUUUAAAACUUUUAUAAAGAAAAGUGAAGGGUGUUUUGUAUUGUUAUUAUGUGCUUUGUGCCCUAGCUUUGUUUGGCUUGUGAAAAAAAUGAAUUUCAAAAUUUCUAGCGUGCCACAUUUAGGUCCUGUUGGUUUUCACAAAAAUAAAACUCCAAAAGUCCUAUUUGAAAACUAAUUCAAAUUUGAGUUGCAAAAACAAUUUAGGUGUGUUUAAACUAAAAUAUAUUUAGAUUUCAAAAUAGUCUAAAAACAAAUUCCAAAAUAAUCCCUAAGUAUUGGCUCAAAUUUAUUUUGAAAUAUGGUUUCAAAAUAGUUUAGAAAUUGGUUGACAAAAUAGUUUAGAAUUUAUGUUUUACAAAAAGAAAAAAAGGAAAAAAAAGCCCUCUCUCCUUUUUGGGCCGGCUCCCUCUCCCUCGGCCCACCUUCCCCCUUCCCUCUCUCACCCGCGCUAGCGGCCCAGCCCGGCCAAGCGCAGCAGUGCCAGCCCGCCUCAGCCCUGAGCCGCUGCCACGUGGGGCCCGCUCGCCAGUCGCAGCCCCCCGCCGCUUGAGCCGCUGACGCCCCGGUCCCACGUGUCAGGGCCAUCUCCUACCUUCGAAUCGCGCGGGGUGCGCCCGCCACCGCUCAAUUCCACCCGAGCGCGCACCCCGAGGAUUCCCGCGCCUAUAAAAUGGUUUAGCCCUAUGCUCCGCGCCCCUCGCUAAACCCUAGGCCAGCCGCCGCCACCUCGUGCCCAGCCGCGUAGCUGCCAAAGCCGCUAGCGCCGCCCCGAGCUCCAAGCCGCCGUUCAUCUUCUCGACGGUUGCGCCCCAAAAGACAUGGACCGGUCCCUGAGCUUCGCGUCGAGGUGAGAAACCCACCGAACCACUUCCCGCCCCCU